CGCCCUGCUAAGAAGCGUGUGUGCUUGUACAAAGGCCGUUCAGCCUCGGGAUUUACACUCGGCUCGACACGGAUAUGUGAAGAAUGAAGGGACCCUGCAGCGAAACGGAGAGCGCAACCUCUGACUGAGUGCCUGUCUACACAGUCUGACCACCUGUUGAAGGGCUGUUUGAUGACGAUUUGGACUCCUCUGGGAGAUGAGGACACACCCACAUCUGUUCCAUACUGCAGCCAUGGAUGGUGUUACAGCUCCGAGUCAGCUUUGGGCCAUCAGACGCACACACUGGAAAACCAGCACCUGGACUUCAUGCAGGAGAGACGGCCUCAGUGAUAAUUCAUCAGCAGCUGUGAAGAGAUGCAUUUGAAUAUCUUCUGGUUCCACUUUUCCUAACCUGGAAGCUGAGGAUGGCUGAUUUCUGACAAGGACACACACCUCAGCGCUUAUCAUGGGUGUUACAUCCUCCGUGCAGCAAUUCCAGAGAAAACGAGAGAGCAACGACCACUCAUUAAGACCAGACAGAAAUCUGUCCCUUUUUGGCAGCUGUGGAAACUUCCAAUAAGAAAGUUUGCAUUCUUAGAACAAUGCUGGGUCGUGUGUGAUGUGUCAUCAUAUGAGGAUAUUACAUUUUGACUUAAUUCUGCUCAAUUAAGUGUUUUGAUCGUUGAUCCAGUAUAGCAGCUUUGUGUUGUGCAGCAAGUUAAAACCCAUUGUCCUCACGAGCACAGCAUCUAACAACUCUCCUUAAAAAAACCGAAUGACUUUAACUGGACACAAUGGUUUCCAGUGGGAGAUACAUUCAUCACUCAUCCGUGACACUGGAGAAGUCACCUGGAUGAGUGAUAAAACAAUUUUCCAUGGAAAAUCCAGAGGAACUAAACUUUGUUGUUGUUUCUCUGGGCUCAAUUUCAGCCUCAGGAGCAUCUCUCAGAAGAAAACAUUUUGCCAAUAAUCAGAUAAAAAGAUUGUUGAACCAGGUGGUAUUCUCUGGAGUUUAAGACCAAAACUGAACUCAGUGAAUUGACAUUAGACUGGAAUUCAUAAGAUAAAUCGAAAUACUGCUG
Long non-coding RNA from Pelmatolapia mariae (spotted tilapia), 1061 nucleotides. RefSeq lists it as uncharacterized. The record is from RefSeq and is a predicted model, not a curated record. Lineage: Eukaryota; Metazoa; Chordata; Actinopteri; Cichliformes; Cichlidae. The transcript is spliced from 3 exons.